Molecule: ribosomal RNA, 196 nt
Filed under: uncultured Bacillus sp.
Lineage: Bacteria; Bacillati; Bacillota; Bacilli; Caryophanales; Bacillaceae
Description: partial 16S ribosomal RNA
Rfam family: Bacterial small subunit ribosomal RNA
Source: RNAcentral
CCUACGGGAGGCAGCAGUAGGGAAUCUUCCGCAAUGGACGAAAGUCUGACGGAGCAACGCCGCGUGAGUGAUGAAGGCUUUCGGGCCGUAAAACUCUGUUGUUAGGGAAGAACAAGUGCUAGUUGAAUAAGCUGGCACCUUGACGGUACCUAACCAGAAAGCCACGGCUAACUACGUGCCAGCAGCCGCGGUAAUA